This is a long non-coding RNA of Brassica napus (rape), 2592 nucleotides long. RefSeq lists it as uncharacterized. The transcript has 3 exons. Lineage: Eukaryota; Viridiplantae; Streptophyta; Magnoliopsida; Brassicales; Brassicaceae. The record is from RefSeq and is a predicted model, not a curated record.
AUUGUUGUAAAUGUAUCUUUUUCUGGUUUUUUUUUUUGAAAAAUAUAUCUUCUUCUGAGUUUCAACGUCUUUGUUGAAACACAAAAUUGUCUCAAACAUUUAUAUCUCUUCUCUGAGGUUUAGUUAAAUUUUUUUUGUCUUCUUCUUCUUCUUCUUCUUCUCAAUUUAUCGAUAGUUGUAAGAAUGAAUAUAACAAGUUUUAUUUAUUUUUUAUCUUGUUUAGGAUUAUGGAUUUCAUGGAUUCAGAGAAACAACCUCCAGAUGAUUCACCGCAUUUAGAAACAAGUUUCAAUGCGCCUCCUCCACUUGCUCCAGAAUGUAAAAGCUUCAAGUGGAAAAUACAAGUGAUAGGUAAUAAAUAUAAUCUAAACUGAUCACUACUUUUAAUAUUAAUAGAAUUUUUUUUUCAAAGAAAUUGUUAAUUAGACAUUUAGUCAACAAGGUAUACACGCAUGAUUUUAUAUUUCUCUUUUAUUUGGUAUCUUAUUAUUUUAUUGAACAUAUUAGAUGGUGGAAACUUGUAAGCCAUAUUUUUCUCUGCAUGACUCUAUCUUAUUGUCUUCUCACUAGACUUAGUUUUAUAUUAUGUACUAAUUUAUUUUUAUCGUCUAUGUGAUGUGUUUAUCAAUAAGAUUCUGAGGGCAGUGUAGAAGGCAAAAUGGUGACAUCUAAAGAUGUAUGGAAACUUCAGAGCAGUAAAGUGAUCGUGCAUUUUGAUGAAAAUAGCGGUCAACCAAUUGGGGAUUCUGGUGGUUUACUCGGAUCAUGGUUAGGUCAAUUAAGCAAUGAUGUGAAUUUGCUACCUAUCAAUUACAGUAAUUGGAGGAUGGUCAAUAUUCACACUAAAAGAAAAGCGUGGGAUGUUAUUCAGGUAGUUUCUGCCAUCAUUUCAUCUCUAUAUAUUUUCUUGAUCAAGUAAUGUUUUGUGAUAUAUGUAUUAUUUUAAUGAAUUGUUGGGUAUUGUUUUUUCAGUCCAAAUUCUGGUUUGAUGAUCCAACGAUGAGAAAGGGAUAUGUGAUGAGUGCAUUGGGAAGCAGAUGCAAAGAUGUCAAACUACGUCUUUGGAAAGAACACAAACGAAAUGAUCAACUUCAAACAUUGCAGAAUCGACCCAAUAAUGUUCCUGAAGAACAAUGGGAGCAUUUUGUGCACAUGAGAUUUACUGAAAAAUGGAAGAAAAUGCAAGAGAGGAAUACAAAGAACCAAAAAAAACAUACUAUGCCUCAUGUAUGUGGAAGAAAGAGUUUCUCGAGAAAAAGAAAUGAUAUAGUAAGUAACAUUCAUAGUUAUGAUAUAAAACUAGUUUAUUAUACUAAUUUUGUUUAUGAAGACAAUCAGAACCGAAAAAACUCCAUGUCGAGCAGAGUUUUUUAUUGAGACGCGCACGAAACCUGAUGGAAGCUUUGUAUGUGAAGAGGCAAAAACACGAGCGGAAGCGCUUACAACUUUGUUGAAUCAAAAUUCUCAUGGCACAAGCAAUGUUGCAGCCACACUGGAUGAUGAAUUUGCUCAAGUUUUUGGUCCGGAGCGUCCAGGACGAGUACGUUGUGUUGGUCGAGGACCUACACCAUCAAAAUUGGUGAGACGUUGUACUGCAACUAGACAAGAGGUGGACAAUUCUGAAAUGGUCGUUGCGUUGCAGACACAAGUGAAAGAACUAUCAAAUCAAGUUAAGGGAAUGAGUACUUUCAUCCAACAAAUAAUUGGUACUUCAACCGGUGAACAUGUAAUAAUAUUUAUAAUAAUAGUCUAUAAGUUAAAAUAUCUCAUUAUAUAUUAUAUAUAAAACUAAUACAUUAAAAUAAAUACUUAGGCAAGAGCAUGGGCUGCAAGUUUUGCAGUAGCUUUUGCUAACAUACCAAACCCACCUUUCGCAAACAUACCGACUCCAUCUAAUCCUAAUCAGGUAAAUAGUGUGUUUAAGUUUAAAGAAAAAGAUUGUAUGAUACAUAACAAUUUAUAUUAUUUUAUUUCAGGAAAUGCAAUGAUGCGGGUGUCCAUGGAUAUUCAAAUGUUGGAAACUAUGCUGGUGAUCAUCAUUAACAUUAGUUUAGCAACAUUUUUCUACAAUGUUUGUUUAAUUUAUUUCUGUUUUGUGAAUUUGUAUUAUGGGAUGAAUAUGUAAUUCAGAUGCUUGUAGAUUAAUUAGUAAUUCAGAUUUGUGUUUUUCUUUAAAAAAAUAUUUUUUCGUUUUCUAAAAUAUAAUAUUUUUAAUAUUAAUAAUAAAUACGGAAAUAAAAAAUAUUUUCAUCACUUUUUAUAAAUGAUACAUUUAAUUAGAAUCAUUUGUGAAAACUGAAAUAAAUGUAACAUCAAUUAUAAGUAAAUGAUACCAAUACUUUAAAUCGGUAACUAUAUAAUGAUACAUUUUUGAAUCACUUCUUAAAAUUGAUAUUAAUUAUAUGUCAGUUAUUUAUAAGUGAUACAAAUUAUUAAAUCAAUUAUUUUAAUUGAUAGAAAUACUUACAUCAUUUAGUAUAUAGUUGAUGUAAGAACUAAUAUCAUUUAUCAGAAAUUGAUACAUAAUAACAUCAUUUAUGUAAAUGAUGUAAAUAAUUUAUAUUUUUGUAUCAAUUAUUAAAUGAAUUGAUG